UUUUAUUAGAUUGCGUAAAGCAGUAUUUAUAUAUGGUUCAAUUGUUGUAAGAGAUGUAAACAAAGUCAUUCAGAGUGGUUUGAUGUGAAAUAGUGCAUCGUAGAGUGAAAUACUGUGUAUGUACUGUGAUUUCUUUAUAGUCGUGGUGGUGAUAGGAGCCAGGGGUCAUAACGUCAACAACACAGAUUUCUCAGUCUGAGCAUGCUCAAAAACAGACCGCAGUGCUGGAAAACAGCAAGCAACGUUGUCGCAAGACGGCAGUAAAGCACUUUUGGAGUGAUGCUGAAACCAAAUACGUGGUUGAAGAAAUGAAAGAUUUAAAUAUUCUUCAUCUUCCAGAAGUCAGGUAGCAUUUUCAGGACCAGAUGUCUGGUUCCUGUCACCACAG
Molecule: long non-coding RNA, 388 nt
Organism: Pygocentrus nattereri (red-bellied piranha)
Lineage: Eukaryota; Metazoa; Chordata; Actinopteri; Characiformes; Serrasalmidae
Exons: 3
Source: RefSeq, a predicted model, not a curated record